UUGAAGCCUUUCGCUGUGAUGACAAAACUAUGAAUGACGACAUUUGUACUCACAUAUUCAUCAUGCAUGUCCCACCGUUAGUCAUCCUCAUUUUCUAAUCUCAGUUCGCCGACUAAUCUUAGUCUAAUGUUGUUUUACAGACGAAUUCACAACAGCACAGUGUCUGGCAGAAAUCGAAGGAUGACAUCUACAUAGACGACGACGCCCUGGAAGGCUCGGGUCGUGACGAGGUGAGGAAUGACUUGGAGGCGAGUGGCUCGGGUUACGGGCCGGACGAUGAGGACGCCGAGGCUGGAUCAGGUGCUGUCUCUAUAAUCAAUUCGAACAACAAUAAUAAAACACCAAAGACAUCAAACCAUCCAUCCAAGGAACCUGACUUUGGCAAAGAGAGAGAGCCCGAAGUUACAAAGGAGAA
Nilaparvata lugens (brown planthopper) is the source of this 415-nucleotide long non-coding RNA. RefSeq lists it as uncharacterized. The transcript has 2 exons. The record is from RefSeq and is a predicted model, not a curated record. Lineage: Eukaryota; Metazoa; Arthropoda; Insecta; Hemiptera; Delphacidae.